Pelobates cultripes (western spadefoot toad) is the source of this 938-nucleotide non-coding RNA. NCBI's taxonomy places the organism in Eukaryota, Metazoa, Chordata, Amphibia, Anura, Pelobatidae. The record is from the annotation of a GenBank genome assembly.
CUGGCACGGUUAGUUUCUCAAGGUUAGGUUUCAAGGCUUUUAGUAAAUACACAUUUUAUCAAAGCUAUUUCUUGCUGACAUGCAAAUUCUAUGUUCUAUAGACAAAGCUUCCUUGUAAAACUAUGGGGGCCUCUUAGAGGUAUAGCAAGAGGAUUUAAAGGGGCCUUACAAAUUUAUAGAGGCCUAAUAAUUCUACAACAGUCCCCCCUAAAAUGUUAUUUGCUAAAAGACAAAACUUUAUUUGUUAGUAUCAGAAGAAGUAUUAGCCCAAAGACACAGAAACCCCAUGACCGCUGACUUAGUGUUAAUGCAAAGUGCAAGUCUAUCCCUCUCUUGACCCUAACAGGCUGCAGCACAUCCGUCAGUACGGUUCAGGAACACUCUUCACUCCGCUGGUAACCCAUAGUGGCUUAUCCACUACUUCUCCGUACGGCAGUCUACCCAUAAAGACGGACGCUGUCCCUGUACUGUUCCUAGACUUUCUGCACUUCAUCAGUAUAAGGGAGAGUUUGUAGCGGAAUACAGGGUGAGAUGAGGUCUUGAUCAUCGAUUGUCAGAUGAGUGAAGGUUGGUGUUGCUUGGUCUACAGUUUUCUGCAGGAAUUUCCUUAGGCAUGGGAGGACACAACAAAUGAGAAGAGCGAGAAUAAAAAAGAAAAAUUAGUAAGGCAAUACCAAUCUGGACUAAAGCUCUCUGCCAACCAGUCAUCCAACCAAACCAUUUUUCCCAGGGAUCAGUAACUCCAGAGUUUCUCUUUAACUCUUCUGAGAGUCUAUUUAAUUUAGCUAUGGCCAGAGUGACUUUACCAUUAGGACCUGUGUUUUCUGGAAUGUAAGUGCAACAAGUCAUAGUGUCGGGAAGUAUUUUACAGACUCCCCCUUUUUCGGCUAAGAUCAUGUCUAAGGCCAGUCUGUUCUGGAAGGUCAUUUGGGAUGUGG